GUGUAAUAAACAAGAUUUUAGCUUCUCUUUCUUUUUUAGUAUUAUCAAGUCCAAUCCAUUCAUCCCUACCAAGCAUGUUGUAAGUCUGUAAUUAGACAAACAACAUCGCCAUCGAAUCCCCCAUCUCUCAAAAGUAACUCAUCAAUAUAUACAUUCUACAAAAAGUAGAAUUUAGGUAACAGAUCAGACUCUGAAGCCAUCACCGACACGUUUACAACCAGUUAAAAUCCCAUUGAAGCUGCAUGAAAUUGUAGACAAAGUCCAGUCAAUACGAUUUCACCCUUCACUUAAAUGCUUCAUAAUUCCGUAAUCUCAUACUAGAGUCACAAGCCAUUUCAGAAGAGCAUCCCUAACUUUUACUUCGGCGUGAACCAUCAACAACUUGUUCAUCCCAAAUAGACACUAGUAUAUAUAUGGCACUUAGAAAACCUUUUAUGUCAUCAAGUCAAUCAAUCAAAUCAGUAAGUCUAAAUGACAAAAUCACCUUUUGGAUUCGCUCUCUUUUCAUCGUUAUAGUGAAUGAAAAAAACCAAACCACCAAUUCCAGCUAUGAUGGAACAUAAAUUUUAUAGAACGAGAAUUGCAAAAUUGGAGCAUCUCCAGGGAAGAUGGAGUCAUAGUAUCAUACAAUAAUAAGAGAUCUCCAAGAGCUGGGGGACGUAGACUGUUCAGGUAAUGGAAGGGGAGUUUUAUUGCUACUCGUUGACCUUUGUCUGGAAGAGUAAAAUCUCUUAGAUGCACCAAAUCUAUACACACAAAACAAUAGAAAAAUAUAACUAAAUGUUGGUUACAAGUUGAAAUAGGUCAGGGGAAAUAACAUCGGAAAGAUUGCCAAUUCUCUAAAAAAUAAAUAAUACAAAAUAAGUGCUCACUUGUUAAGAGAAUUACCAAAUGAUAGCAACUCAAAACAAUUCAAUGUGUAAUUUCAGUUAGAGGCAAUUCGUUUGCAUUUUGCUAACAGACUUAUUUUAUGUGACGUGUCAUAUUGAAUUUGAUUUUACACAAAAACUGGUUUGUCAAAUAUCUCAGUGCUAACAUACAAGACCUCGAACACAAGUGCAUGCAUACUUCAAAAUUGAAACCAAAAUGAAAUAUUAACAGAAAACACAGC
RNAcentral lists this long non-coding RNA (1111 nucleotides) under Olea europaea subsp. europaea. Lineage: Eukaryota; Viridiplantae; Streptophyta; Magnoliopsida; Lamiales; Oleaceae. The record is from RNAcentral.